This 322-nucleotide ribosomal RNA is filed under the name uncultured eukaryote. Its description in RNAcentral is "partial 18S ribosomal RNA". It matches the Rfam family "Eukaryotic small subunit ribosomal RNA", at positions 1470 to 1796 of the family's 1831-position model. The record is from RNAcentral.
CCCUUAGAUGUUCUGGGCCGCACGCGUGCUACACUGAGUGGAUCAGCGGGUCAGGUUGCGCGAAAGCGUUUCCUAAUCUUUAAAUCCGCUCGUGAUGGGGAUUGACGGUUGCAAUUUUCUGUCAUGAACGAGGAAUACCUUGUAAGCGCGGGUCAUCAUCCCGCGCUGAAUACGUCCCUGCCCUUUGUACACACCGCCCGUCGCUCCUACCGAUUGAGUGGUCCGGUUAGGCUUUGGGAUCUGAGCGGAAAGAGCGUUUCGCUGUUUCUGCCCGGAAAACUCAGUCGAACCUUAUCAUUUAGAGGAAGGAGAAGUCGUAACA